RNAcentral lists this non-coding RNA (21 nucleotides) under Caenorhabditis elegans. The record is from RNAcentral. Lineage: Eukaryota; Metazoa; Nematoda; Chromadorea; Rhabditida; Rhabditidae.
UGUGUCAGGGGAAAUAGAACA